Molecule: unclassified non-coding RNA, 398 nt
Filed under: uncultured fungus
Lineage: Eukaryota; Fungi
Description: sequence contains ITS1
Source: RNAcentral
UUAACUUAUUAUAAUAUUACUCAGACAACACAAAAAUCAAGAGUUUAGGGGGUCCUCUGGCAGACACGGACCAGCUUAAGCCAGUAGUCAAAAGACAGGCCUGCCAAAGCAACAAAGGUAAUAUAAACAAAGGGUGGGAGAUCUACCCCAAAGGGCAAUUCUCUGUAAUGAUCCUUCCGCAGGUUCACCUACGGAACGCUAUGGUCUACAACCUUUUCAGAGGUAGGCCGGUCAUAUCUGAAUCCAAGAGAGCCCCCCCUUGGACCACCUUCGUUUGAUCUGUGAACUGCUAUAAGCAGCUGCAUGUUACCCCGACGGUAUCCAGGCACAGUGAAGAUGUUGCCUACGUAGGUAGACUUGUAUCCAAGGCUUCUGCAGGUGUUGUUCUGCAAGAGAAA